Nycticebus coucang (slow loris) is the source of this 477-nucleotide long non-coding RNA. RefSeq lists it as uncharacterized. NCBI's taxonomy places the organism in Eukaryota, Metazoa, Chordata, Mammalia, Primates, Lorisidae. The transcript has 3 exons. The record is from RefSeq and is a predicted model, not a curated record.
CUUUUGGUGAAUGUGCCCAUGAACACGUCAACUUCGCCAGGGUCUAUUCCAAAGAAUUCUGUGACACCCCGGCCAGUUGGGCCCACGGACCCAAUACUGUGCGCUUCAUCAAUGUAGAGCUUAAAGGAAAACUCACACCUGAGCACAUCUUCAGAUGCUAAGAUCAUUCCAACUCCAGAUCCUCGGUCGGGAGCAAGAACUGUACUCCACAUUAGCCCUAACUGGAAGGCACAACUUCUGUAUUCCGAUGCCAAUUGAUGGAUGGAUUCAGCAAGCAGUGGAUUUGGGUGCACUGUGUGGGUAGUGUCAUCUGGGGUGUCCAAAAUAAACAUCUUCUACAGUCAUAAAGGAAUAAGCUGCUAUACAUUGAAUAAAUAUGCUGGUACUUACUGUUGUGUUUGAAGAUCCUUAUGGUUGCACCUGAGAGUCGGGCCCCAAGCACAAGAGAUGCGUGGUUUAACUCAUCACUUAAAAUGA